RNAcentral lists this ribosomal RNA (468 nucleotides) under uncultured bacterium. RNAcentral describes it as "partial 16S ribosomal RNA". It matches the Rfam family "Bacterial small subunit ribosomal RNA", at positions 28 to 507 of the family's 1533-position model. The record is from RNAcentral.
GAUGAACGCUGGCGGCGUGCUUAACACAUGCAAGUCGAGCGGACGGGCGCUGCUUUUGCUUGGUUCUUGUUUGCCGAACGCGUGUGUAACACGUGUGUAACCCGCCCCUGUCUUUGGGGUAUCUUCUCGAAACUGGGGCUAUUAUCCGAUAUGAUCUCUUGCUCCGUGGUGGGCAUUGGAAAAAUUCGGCGGUACUGGCUGGAUUAGCGGGUUAUCAGCUUGAUUGUGAGGUUGUUGCGUUCCAAGGGUAUGACGGGUAGGCGGCCUGAGAGGGUGAACGGCGACAUGGGGACUGAGAGACGGCCCAGAAGCGAACGGGAGGCAGCAGGGGGGAAUAUUGCGCAAUGGGGGGGAGCGUGAGGCAGAAACGCCGCGUGCGGGAUGACGGCUUACGGGUUGUAAACCGAUUAGGCAUGAGACGAAGAGUGAGUGACGGUAAUGGAUAAAGAAGCAACGGCUAACUACGUG